Long non-coding RNA from Biomphalaria glabrata, 3460 nucleotides. RefSeq lists it as uncharacterized. The record is from RefSeq and is a predicted model, not a curated record. The transcript has 3 exons. Lineage: Eukaryota; Metazoa; Mollusca; Gastropoda; Planorbidae.
GUCUCAGUUUUAUUAGAUUUCUGAUACAAAGACUUUUUAUGCUUGGUGUUGUUAAAAAGUAUGAAACUACUUAACUUUUCCAAAUGUUAUACAGAGAAAUAUUUUUAACAUUUAUGUGGCAUAAAAAAGGUAGAAUUGGUGAAAGGUUCAAGUUUAUUUAACAAUAAUUCUUUUGUUUUUUCUGAAAUCUAUUGGAACAAAUGAAAAGGAUUGCAGUCUGCUUUUUUUAAUUUUACAUAAUGUGUUUUGAUUUAUGAUAGUGCCAAGACAAUAUCAAUGUUUUCUCUAGAGGUUAUGAUAGUGUUUUCAUGCUGAUAGAAUAGCAACAAUGUGCAUUAUAGUCUACAAGGCCACAGACACAGUUACUUCUUAACAAGGUUUGCUGGAAUCAAAAAUAUGUUUAUUAUUAUGGGCUUCUUCAUUCGCGAAAUGACUUUGGAUCAUCUCAUGGAAAAGAUAAGAAUGCCUGAGUAUUAUCUAUGGUUGGAAUUAAGUCAACCACACAGCAGUUCCCCCCUCUCCACCCCCUGAUCUAUCCAAAGGAACUGCGAUUGCCGAUAACAGUUUCAGAUCAGCAGCAUUGCAGGCUCUGUCAGGGUCAUUUGUGUGCUACAAGCUGACUGUGUGGGUAGCCAGCCAAGGCUAAUGAGCCCCCCGUGCUUGAAGCACUGGUUUAGGCGCCAGUUACUCUUUACCUUUACAGUUCUGCCAGGCCCAAUGUCUGAGCCACACAUGAAGGCUAGGAGUUGGACUGCUUGUCAGAGGCUUUUUGAGACAUAUGCCAUUGAAAUAUUUUAUAAGUAAAGAAGUGCUUAUUUCCAUUAACACUUCCGGCAACAACAACCUUAAAUAUAAAUUAUAUUACUUCACUAUUCUCAAAGAAAAAGAAACAUUAUUUUUUUAUUGUAUUUGUCAUGAAUCGAUACUGUUACCUAAUUCUACCUCUUUCCAGAUAAAAAAAAAAGUCUCGUACAUCAGUUUCUAGAAGGUAGUGAUGGGAACUAAACUAAUUUUUUUUAGUUAAACUAAAACUAAGUUUGAACUAAAAAAAAGUAAUUAAACUUUUAGUUAAUCACAAAUUGAAAAAAUUAGUUAAACUAAACUAAGAAACUUUAGUUAAACUUUUACUAACUAUUUUGACCUUUUUUAAGGAUGAAACAGCCAAACAUGAAAAAUAUAAAGCACAACCAAUCUCUGUUGCAAAAUGUAAUAAACAUUUAUUUGUGCACAUGAAAAAAUAUUUAGAUCUAAAUGUCUUUUGGGAUAGAUGUAGAUCUUAAUAGAAUCACUAGAAUAAUAGUAUAUUGAUACUAUUUUAGAAAGAAAUUAGAAGUAAUUGUCCAAGUUCUAAUAUAAGUUACCUUUAGAAGUAAUGAUAAAACUGCAUGUUGACUCUCUAACUAACUCUAGAUUCUAGAAUAUUCUGGAUCUAAUAUCUUUUACAAACGAAAUGAUCAGAAAUAUAAUCUGGAUCUAGAAUUAGUUAUAAUAGAUACUUCGAUUUUCCGGUCGCGCGAGAUUUUUUUUGGUUACCGGAACCGGUAGUAUUCGUGCGGCAGUAUUUAAGCCGAUAACAAUAUAGAUUUCGUUCCAGUCUGGUUUUGUCUUCAAAAUCAGACACAAAAGGAUAGUCAGAGCCCUUUGUUUGUUCAAGGAUCGGAUAUCAGUUAAUUCUUUGGAUUUAUAUCAGUGCUUUUCUAUCGUCUUCAUUGGAGUUCCAGCGUGUUGAGCAUAGGGGUAAGUUGACCAUCCAUAAUUUUUUUAUUAUUCUGAAAAGCAUAUUUUUUAAAGUCAAUCCGUGUACCUUAAUAUCUAAUCUAACUAUUUUUGUUCAUAUUAUCGCAAUAAGUAUUCCACUUUAUUAGUAAAAACGGACCCAGUGCAUCAGGUAUCUUGGCUAGAAAACGAAACCAGCCGCCAUUACUAACCGGAAAUGAUAGAUUCAAUGGUUAUCAAUGGCUGCAUAGCUUUUUUGUUAGAUCGAUUUUUUUUAAUCCAUCAUCAAGAACAGUUUUAUUUAGUCAUCCGUGAUUUUGAAUGCAAUUUUUAAAAUUUUUAGAAUGAUUUUAAACUAGUUCAAUUAUUAUUUUUCGUUUUUAGUUAAAUUUCUUGCAAUGGCUGGUAAUAUAAUUGGGAUAAUUAUAAAAUAAUUUAUAAAUACAAAAUUUUAAGUGAUAGUUACCAUAAUAAUCACUACUAAAUAUAAGUUAUAAACAAAAUAUAACACAAAUCAAUUGAAAUAUCAUUUUAUUUCAAUGAAAAUACUUUUUCAGAUAUUAAUCUAUAGAUCUACUUAAAUCUACUAUAUUCUCUAUAUGAUUUAGGAUAAUUGUAGAAAUUUAUUUUAAAGUAAAGGCUUGGCUGGACUUAUGAAGUUGAGCCUUCUAUUUUACAUUAAAUGUCUUAUAUCCUUUUAUAAAUAAAAUCUUUAAACUGCAUUUUAUUAAAAUAGUACAUAUGUGUAAUUUUGUUUGAAAAAAUUUUUUUUUCACAAUUAAAUAAAACUAACUUUUUUUUUGUUACAUUUUCCCCAGAUAAUGUGGGCGUGGCAGGCCUUGAUGUCGAUGUUGUUGACAAUAAGUUUCGAAGGCAUAUGACUGAUGUGAAGAACUUUUGCAGGAAGAUUACCCGCAGCUGGCACCUAGUUGCACCCUACUUGGAUAAAAAAAUUUCUAUCGAUGCUGCUGGCAAAAAGACACCUAUCCAAGUCCCAAGACAGCACUGAACGACCUAGUAUGGUGAAGAAGUUGCGACCUGAAGGUGAUGUUGAGGCUACUGAAAGGCCAGGUAACACAGAACAACACUGUGCUUGUUGUUGCAGAAAAGCGGUUAGUCUUUUAAGGGCUUUUUGGCAAGAUGUUGACAGAACCGUGGAUGACACUGAUCUACAAAAUGAAAGAUGAAACAUUUUAAAGAUACCAUUUAUGCAGCUAUUAUAUUUAUUCUCUUGUUUUCUAGAUCUCUCAUGUGAAGGUCUGCAUUGACAAACUAAAGCCACUAAAGGCCAUUGUGGAUUCUCUACUAAGUGAUUGCUUUGGCCAGACUCUGGAUACUGAAAAUCUCGUUCUGAAAACCCUGAGAAAUGUGACUGUUGAUGAAGUAUUUAUCGAGAUCACUAAAAUACUUGCUGAAGGUUUUUGUAAGGUGCUACAGAGACAGUACUUCAAUUGAUAAUUUCAUACAACAAACAAAUCCAUUAUGUGCUUACCCAUCAAAUACAAAACAGAUAGGGUACACCCAAACAAUGUUCAUCUUCAAACAAUCAUGCAUGAUCCUCGCAAGCUUUGGAUACUGACGUACAUUUGCAAACGCACUCAGACUGAUGACAUCAAGAAAUCUAUAUUUGUUAUUUACAUUAUAUGUAAAUUUAAAUACUCUUUUUUUUUUCAAAUUUUUUUUAAUUUUGUAAAUCUUGUAUAAUUAUCUCUAAAGUCUAGAUUAAAAUGUUACAGCUCUCAAA